GGUUUGAUCAUGGCUCGAGAUUGAACGCUGGCGGGAUGCUUUACACAUGCAAGUCAGGCAGCGGCACGGACUUCGGUCUGGUGGCGAGUGGCGAACGGGUGAGUAAUGUAUCGGAACGUGCCGUAGCGGGGAUAACUGCGCGAAAGCGUAGCUAUUACCGCAUACGCCCUUCGGGGAAAGCGGGGGCAACCGGGCCUCGCGCUAUUAGAGCGGCCGAUAUCAGUUAGCUAGUUGGUGGGAGUAACGGCUCGCAAGGCGACGAUCCGUAGCUGGUUUGAGAGGGCGACCAGCCACACUGGGACUGAGACACGGCCCAGACUCCUACGGGGAGGCAGCAGUGGGGGAAUUUUGGACAAUGGGGAAACCUGAUCCAGCCAUCCCGCGUGUGCGAUGAAGGCCUUCGGGUUGUAAAAGCUUUUGGCAGGAAAAACAGCCAGCGGGAUAAUACCCCGUGCAACUGACGGUACCUGCAGAAUAAGCACCAGCUAACGUGCCAGCAGCCGCGGUAAUACGUAGAAUGCAAGCGUUAAUCGGAAUUACUGGGCGUAAAGCGUGCGCAGGCGGUUCGGAAAGAAGAUGUGAAAUCCCCAGAGCUUAACUUUGGAACUGCAUUUUUAACUACCGAGCUAGUGUGUGUCAGGGAGGUGGAAUUCCGCGUGUAGCAGCAGUGAAAUGCGUAGAUAUGCGGAGGAACACACCGAUGGCGAAGGCAGCCUGGGAUAACACUGACGCUCAUGCACGAAAGCGUGGGGAGCAAACAGGAUUAGAUACCCUGGUAGUCCACGCCUAAACGAUGUCAACUAGCUGUUGGGGCCUUCGGGCCUUGGUAGCGCAACUAACGCUGAAGUUGACCGCCUGGGUGCAGUGCGGGCUAAAACUCAAAGGAAUUGACGGGGACCCGCACAAGCGGUGGAUGAUGUGGAUUAAUUCGAUGCAACGCGAAAAACCUUACCUACCCUUGACAUGUCUGGAAUCCCGAAGAGAUUUGGGAGUGCUCGCAAGAGAACCGGAACACAGGUGCUGCAUGGCUGUCGUCAGCUCGUGUCGUGAGAUGUUGGGUUAAGUCCGCAACGAGCGCAACCCUUGUCAUUAGUUGCUACGAAAGGGCACUCUAAUGAGACUGCCAGUGACAAACCGGAGGAAGGUGGGGAUGACGUCAGGUCCUCAUGGCCCUUAUGGGUAGGGCUUCACACGUCAUACAAUGGUCGGGACAGAGGGUCGCCAACCCGCGAGGGGGAGCCAAUCCCAAGAAACGAUCGUAAGUCGGAUCGCAGUCUGCAACUCGACUGCGUGAAGUCGGAAUCGCUAGUAAUCGCGGAUCAGCAUGUCGCGGUGAAUACGUUCCCGGGUCUUGUACACACCGCCCGUCACACCAUGGGAGUGGGUUUUACCCGAAGUGGCCUAACCGUAAGGAGGGCGAUUACCACGGUAGGAUUCAUGACUGGGGUGAAGUCGUAACAAGGUAA
RNAcentral lists this ribosomal RNA (1466 nucleotides) under uncultured Bordetella sp. RNAcentral describes it as "partial 16S-23S ribosomal RNA intergenic spacer". It matches the Rfam family "Bacterial small subunit ribosomal RNA". The record is from RNAcentral. Lineage: Bacteria; Pseudomonadati; Pseudomonadota; Betaproteobacteria; Burkholderiales; Alcaligenaceae.